Long non-coding RNA from Herpailurus yagouaroundi (jaguarundi), 1172 nucleotides. RefSeq lists it as uncharacterized. The record is from RefSeq and is a predicted model, not a curated record. The transcript is spliced from 2 exons. Lineage: Eukaryota; Metazoa; Chordata; Mammalia; Carnivora; Felidae.
CUUACACUUUAUGAUAAGCAAGGGUCCCCUUUGGUCCUUCAGACCCUUGUCAUACUUGCUGUUCUGAAAAAAUAAUAAUAAUAAGUGAAUGUGAUGAUGAACAUGGAACCAAGUUGUCACCCAUGAAUAUUAUGAAUCUUUUGGUUUCAAGUCAGAGACAAUCUAGGUCAAAACUGGCUUAAUUCAAAAAGGGAACUUAGACCCUCGAGUAGCUGAAAAAUAAAGAACUAGUCCAAGCUUUGAAACAAGGCUUAAGUGGCUCCGUUGUAUCAUCAAAAACAUUUUAUCUUCCUUUUUCUCCUUGGUUGUCUUGGUAUCUUGUUUAACCCUAAGGUUGUGUUUCUUCAGAGUUCCAGAAUGACUUCUCACACCUUGAUCUUUCUUAUUCUGUGUAAAUGUCCAGCAAGGAGAGAGAGAAUUGCUUUCCUUAAAGUUCGCUGAGCUAGAAAGCAUUCUCCCCAGAAGCCCCCAGCAGACAUUUCCUCCUUUAUCAUUCACCUGAACCACAUCUUCUGACUUGAGUUAAUUACAGUGAAAAGGCCAAUGGGAUGUGCUGCUUGGCUUAAAGCAAUCAGGGUUCUCCUCUAGAGCUGAGUGGGCUGCAAGUUAGAAGCAGUUACCAGAUGGAGAGAGAACACUGUGUGCUCAGAGGGUGAAGGCAUCAAAAGGCCACUAUUCCUACCAAUGGUAAACAUUGACUAUUGUGAAGUCAGUGACCAGUAGGCCCUGAACUCCCCUCCAUGUGACCCUAGAGCCAGGAUGUUGAAGAGAGCAGGGAGGAGGUGCCGGGAACACUGGGCCACCUCCUACCAUCUAGUAUAGUCCAACAUGUGAGUGGCACCAAUACAAAUGAAAAGCCAUCGAUUGAGCCCAGUUGUGAAUGAUCAUCCUGGCAGUCACUGAAGUAGGAGGUAGAGUCCCAGAAAGGUGUUUAUUUUCUGAUGUAAAAAAGAUGCCUGUCAAGAAGAGGAGCCAUGAAACGUGUCCAGAUACUGAAUGUUGGAAGAGAAAUAGAGAUGAAAUGACAGAAGUUUGCAGGAAGAUGAAACUUUUCUGUGAGGGGAGCCGAAGAGCCUCCCUGAUGGGCAUUUUACAUGCAGAAACUCCUGGGCUUGUGUUUAACUUUAGGAGACAUCUUUUGGGUCUUUUCAAGAAACCAACUCUUUUUUUUU